GUAUACUCAGUCUGUGAAGAUAGAGUAUACGUCCUCAGAAAAUGACAAGCAUGUGGGGCGUAAGUAGCUAAGCAGUAAUGGUAUAGUAUCAGCAAUGACCAUUACGCCGAAACUGAUUGCUAUAAUCGUGCGGACGUUAAAAUCAUGU
This 148-nucleotide non-coding RNA is filed under the name unclassified sequences. The record is from RNAcentral.